Triticum urartu is the source of this 115-nucleotide non-coding RNA. NCBI's taxonomy places the organism in Eukaryota, Viridiplantae, Streptophyta, Magnoliopsida, Poales, Poaceae. The record is from Rfam.
AUACUACUCCCUCCGUUUUAAAUUACUCGUCGCAGAAAUGAAUGUAUCUAGCAUUAAAAUACAUCUAGAUACAUCUACAUCUACGACAAGUAAUUUGAAACGAAGGGAGUAGUUC